CCCGACCACCGGUCCGCGGACCGGCCCAGCGGUUACCGGGCCGCACAGAGACAGACCGAGAUCCUUUAUCGUGUCGUAAUUUUGCUGGUGUAAGAGUAACGAAUGGACUAAACGUAUGACUUUAAUAAACGCGCCGCUGGACGGGCAGCCACGACUUUCGAAGAUGAAGCGAUUUGGACAAGAGAAGUUCCUCCCCGAGCGACCAGGGGGAGGAAGCUGUUGCACGAGGUUUGUCGUCCAAAAACAAGGCGAUACAAGAAACCCGAUGAAGCAUUUGAACAAGCAGCACCCAAGGGAUCAAGUAGGAAAGCAUGAAAGUGUGAGCACAGUUUGCACAUCCCGUCCGCGUCCACAGGAGCAGUUUCGUCGCUAACAAGUAGCCUAGCCGGGAGCCACCGGAAGAAAGCAACAAUCAACCGUGUCGUCUUUUACAAGUCGCAGUGAUGCUAACGCCGUAGGUAGGAUCAUAACUUUAAAAUUAUUCUCUUGACACGACAAAUUCUUAGCAUAUUGAAUUACUCCACCAUCAUCUUUGUGGUCACUACCGGUGCUUUAAAACUGGUCAUUUCAAAGCGAUGAAAAGUUUACUUGUCUCAACUGAACUGGUCCGUAACACAAACAUGGUUGGGGACCCCGGCCAGAGAGGCACAAUCAUUAAAAACUGCCCAAAUACAUUUGGACUCGGCUCGAAAACUGGGUGGCGACCGGAACAUUCUGAUUGCACAGUAAAGUUACAUUACCAAAGAGCAAAUCAUGGCGUGUGGCGUUCGAGAGCUUUCUACUUCAUGACAUUAGUCUGUCUUUAAUCAGAGCAGCAUACUGCUGCCAGAGUCAAUCGUCAUCAAUGGCUCAAAAGGUCGCGGGAGGAGAAAAAAACCCCAAACCUAAAUCCUCGGCCUCCCACACCACCACAAGACGACCACUCAAGAGAAUCUUUCCGGGACAUCUUGGGGCCUUUUCUGACUUUGAUUGCGAGGGCGGGAAAACACUCAACCCUGCGCUGACUGCACGCAUGGAGCCCGCUUCAGACGAAGAGGACCACCUGCCGGUUCGUCUGUUUGCGGCCGCCGAUUGGCUGCAAGAAACAACGCGGAGACCUUCUGCGUCGCUGCCACCAUUUUUCUGACUCCACUUUUCUCAUUCAGAGAGCCCCCCCCCCCACACCCCCACCCCAUCCAUGGUCUUGCUCUCCUGUGGAAAACCACGUCUGCUUUAGUGCUUUGCAUUCCUGUGGUUGGACUGGCACUUCCUGCCAUGAGCGAAAAGUACAGCAGGAGAAAGGAACAUUCCUUCAACCCUUGUCGAUUUUUCAAGACUGUUUUUCGACCUCUCGCAUUCCCCUGACAUUUCUGCUUCUGAUGAAACGGUCCCAGUUUGCGUUGUAGUGAAAA
This is a long non-coding RNA of Hippocampus comes (tiger tail seahorse), 1391 nucleotides long. RefSeq lists it as uncharacterized. The record is from RefSeq and is a predicted model, not a curated record. The transcript is spliced from 2 exons. Lineage: Eukaryota; Metazoa; Chordata; Actinopteri; Syngnathiformes; Syngnathidae.